UGGCUCAGGACGAACGCUGGCGGCGUGCUUAACACAUGCAAGUCGAACGAUGAACCGGUUUCGGCCGGGGAUUAGUGGCGAACGGGUGAGUAACACGUGGGCAAUCUGCCCUGCACUCUGGGACAAGCCCUGGAAACGGGGUCUAAUACCGGAUACGACGCGUUCCCGCAUGGGAUACGUGUGGAAAGCUCCGGCGGUGCAGGAUGAGCCCGCGGCCUAUCAGCUUGUUGGUGGGGUGAUGGCCUACCAAGGCGACGACGGGUAGCCGGCCUGAGAGGGCGACCGGCCACACUGGGACUGAGACACGGCCCAGACUCCUACGGGAGGCAGCAGUGGGGAAUAUUGCACAAUGGGCGCAAGCCUGAUGCAGCGACGCCGCGUGAGGGAUGACGGCCUUCGGGUUGUAAACCUCUUUCAGCAGGGAAGAAGCGUGAGUGACGGUACC
RNAcentral lists this ribosomal RNA (445 nucleotides) under Streptomyces malaysiensis. Its description in RNAcentral is "bacterial SSU rRNA". It matches the Rfam family "Bacterial small subunit ribosomal RNA", at positions 20 to 479 of the family's 1533-position model. Lineage: Bacteria; Bacillati; Actinomycetota; Actinomycetes; Kitasatosporales; Streptomycetaceae. The record is from RNAcentral.